This 12263-nucleotide long non-coding RNA is filed under the name Hordeum vulgare. Its description in RNAcentral is "long non-coding RNA (HVUL_LNC016011)". Lineage: Eukaryota; Viridiplantae; Streptophyta; Magnoliopsida; Poales; Poaceae. The record is from RNAcentral.
UAUGGAAUUGGCUUACGCUCGCCACAAGCUACUUCAAGAUCACAUCAAUACAACAACAUAUUCAAACACCAUGUAUAAGAGCAGGGUCCUACUAUAGACAAAAUCAAAAAUAAAAGAACGAUGUCCAUCCUUGCUAUCCCAGGCUGUCGACCUCGAACCCAUCCUAGAUCAAUGAAGUAGUAGUAGAAGAAGAAACUCCGAAUAGCACAAUCACCGCACUCACGUCAAAGUAUCACUUUACCUGUACCUGCAACUGUUGUUGUAGUAAUUUGUGAGCCAUAAGGACUGAACAAUCUCAUUUCCAAAGAUAUCAAGACUAGCAAAGCUUAAUGGGUGAGGUAUGGUUAAGUAGUGAGGCUGCAACAAGCAACUAAGCAUUUAUUUGAGUGGCUAACUUACAGGUACAAGAAUAAAAGGGGGAUGAUCUACACAUAACAGAUGUGAACUAAUAAUGAUUAUGAAGUGAUCCUGAACACCUACUUACGUCAAACAAAACCCCAACGUGUCCUCGUCUGGAUGUAGAACUUGCGAUUAGAGACAGUCACGGUUACGCACACAAUUGGCAGUUUUAAUUAAGUUUACUUCAGGUUAUCUAGAAUCGUAUGUUAAACAAAGUUCCCAAGUUUGCCACAUAACCGCGGGCACAACUUUUUGAAAGAUUUAAUCCUGCAGGGGUGCUCCAACUAGUCCCUCACAAACUACCACAUGCUGCGUCGGAAACCUCGACCGCGGAAAAACACAUGAUCUCCUCGGAUUCCUGGUGGGAAAACCUCAACCUCAAGAUAGCCCAAAGUAUCCUCGGAAUCCCUCGCACAAGACGUUUGAGAUGAGUAAAACAAGUCUGGCAAAGCCACCCGGUGAGCCAGAUCCGCAUCUAGAGUCGCGCGCUCUCUAUCUACGGGCGUCAACCGUCUAUACAAAGUGGACGAUAGCCAGAAAAUGCCUCGAGUUGCCCCGAGGUGGCACCACCGAUUACUAGGUAGGUGGACCAACACUCAUGAGGAGAAGUGGCCCGCGGGUUGAUUAAUUAUCCAUGGGUUAAUUACUCCCUAUGCAAUUCAUUAGUAAUUAGGUAAAUGUAGUACUAAUGUUGGGCCUUGCCAGACGAGUUUUAUGCCAAAACAAAAAUCUAGGGGGUCUCCAUAACAAUCCCAAGCAUGUUAGGAGCGCUCAAUUAUGGAACAUAACACCGAUAGCCGAAACUAUGGCAGAAAGAUGGAACAAAACACCAAGCUAGAAAGCCAAGCCUUCCCCCUUUUACCAAAUAUAUAGGUGCAUUAAAUUAGUUAGCAAUAAUAUGAUGAUAUAACAAAGAACCCAUGUUUUCACAUGGAAGCAACUAGACCUACAAUUAGCAACGUUAUAAGAAUUAUGAGAAGCCGUAACGUAACCAAGCAGUGGUUUGUUGGGUUGUGGAAAGGUUAGAGGUUUUUCUUGGCAAUGUUGGGACGCUUAUUAUACAGGUGGUAGGCAUCGAGACAUAACAAAAUAAACGAGUCAAUGAGCAUGGCAAUGAUAGUAAUAUUAUCUAGGGAAUUGGUCAACUUGCCUAUGAUCCCGCUUGGAAGAAGAAUGGAUCCAUGAAGCAAAAUAACCAACUAGUCGAACAGAUCCUCACACUCUGAUACGCUUGUGGAACUCUAUCGAGAAGAAGAAAUCCAUAAAUAACAAUCAACACAUGAUAACACCACACAUAAUCAUGACAAGAUGCAAAAUCAAUUAUGAUGCAUGUCCGUUUAAAUUAUGCAAGGCAUGUCAAAGCACAACUAUUUGUUACUACACAUUAAAUGAAUCUCAAUAUGCAAGUUGUUGCAUAUUAACAAAAUUCCGUAUUUAACUACUUAGUUCGCUCCUGUUUAGGUAAAUAACAAUAUUAAAUUUUGUUACACAUGGAAAGAGGUGAAGCAUAAAUAAACUACACUAUCUACGCAUUUUAAGUGAGGUCGGAAACAACUUAUAGAAUUUCCGAAACGACCCCACAUGUUAAUUUCGAAAUAUGUCCACAUCUUAACUAAACACAUUAUAUUUUUUAAGUAGAAAAAUUAAGUGGAACAUGUGUUUCUACACGUCAUUCUAGUCAGUUUACAUAUAUGGAUCAUCUAAAACGGGGAUACGGUUUAAAAGAUACGAGCAACACAAGAUGAUGACAUGGAUGCGAAAGGCAUUCAAAAGACAGCAACAACAUGUUAAUCAUUGAUGCAACGAGAUAUUAUGAGGCUACAUGAUAUUCUACACAAGUUUAAAUCACACCGGAACAAAAAAUAACAAUUCCAGAAAGUCCCCAUCAUGUUAAAGCACACCUAUUUGUUACUACACAUUAAAUGAAGUCCAUAUGCAACUCAUUGCAUAUUGAUAAAACUCCAUAUUUAGUUACUUAGUUUGCUCCGUUUAGGUACAAAACAAUAUUAAAUAUUGUUACACAUGGCAAGCAGUGAAGCAUAAAUAAACUACACUAUCUAGGCAUUUUAAAUGAGGUCAGAAACAACGUAUAGCAUUUCCGAAACGACCCCACAUGUUAAUUUUGAGAUCUGUCUAGAUGUGAAGUAAACACAUUUAUAUUUAUUACACAUCAAAUAAAGUGGAACAUGUGAUUCUACACGUCAUUCUAGUCGGUUUACAUAUAUGUAUCGGGUUUAAAAGAUAUGAGCAACACAAGAUGAUGACAUGGAUGCGAAAUGCAUGCAAAACACAGUCGCAACUUGUUAAUCAUGGAUGCAACAUGAUAUUCUCAGGCUACAUGAUAUUUAACACAAGUUUAAAUGAGGUCGGAACAACAAAUAACAAUUCCGUAAAGUCCCCAUAUGUAAUUUUGAAUUUGCUACAGAUCUUCCUAAAACACAAUUUUAGAGUUGUUAAAUAGGAAAAUAUACCGCCAUGUUGUUCUACACAUUUUUCUAACCAAGUUACAUAUGUGAAACAUUUUAAUAGGAGCUACGGUUAAUUAACUAUGAGACAAACCGUUUUAACAUGGUAUUGGUGCAAAUUAAAUUAAAACAACAAGUUAAACAUUUUAAACACACAUGGAAGUUGGUUAAUAUUACUCUACACGAAAAUAUGGACUACUUACAUGUUGAAAUCGUUUUAAUUUCACUUACGUUAUAUAGUGAUGAAAAUCCAAAAAAAUUAAUUUCCCAUAUGAGCCUAAACAAUUUACAUGCACUUCAUCUAGACAAAAGAGUAUCUAAACAUUUUAAAUAAAUGUAAAAAUUGUACCAACGGAAAAUAGAUCAAAUUCUGAGCAUUAUCCAUAUAAAACUUCUUUACAUUGGGAAAAUCAUUUGAAUGUUGAAACCGUUUUCAAAAUGUAUGCAAUCUCCCAUGGUAAAAUGUUUAACUUGUAAAUUAAACAAGAACAAGACAGAUAUCUAUGUACCGGUUCCGUAGAUUGACAUGGUAGGACAGCUUGAGAUUGCGGAGCUCCUCACGUUUCACAUUGACUUUGAUCCUGAGAUAGUGGCUCAGUUCUUUGUUACAGUCCACUUCCACUCUAAUGCGGCACGCACUAUGACUUGGAUGACCAAUCGGGAGUGGUUGUUUGCUACUUGGAAGGAGUUUAUGGAUUUUCUAAACGUUCGUGAUGAGGGGCUUGAGCACGCACUUGGUUUGCGCCCAUGAUACGUCUCCGUGGUAUCUACUUUUCCAAACUCUUUUGCCCUUGUUUUGGACUCUAAUUUGCAUGAUUUGAAUGGAACUAACCCGGACUAACGAUGUUUUCAGCAGAAUUGCCAUGGUGUUGUUUUUGUGCAGAAAUAAAAGUUCCUGGAAUGACCUGAAAAUUUACGAAGAAUUUUCUGGAAUUAACGAAAAAUACAUGCGCAAAGAUCUACCGGAGGGGGUGAGCCAGUGGGCCACAAGCCCAGGGGGCACGGCCACCCCCCUGGCCGCGCCAUGAGGGCUUGUGGGGCCCACGAGGCUCCACCGCCUCCAUUCUCAGCUCUAUAUAUUCUGGUUCGCCCGGAAAAAAAUCAGGGAGAAGGAUUCAUCGCGUUUUACGAUACGGAGGCGCCGCCACCUCCUGUUCUUCAUCUGGAGGGCAGAUCUGGAGUCCGUUCUGGGCUUCGGAGAGGGGAAAUCCUCGCCAUCGUCAUCAUCAACCUUCCUCCAUCGCCAAUUCCAUGAUGCUCUUCACCGUUCGUGAGUAAUCUCAUCGUAGGCUUGCUGGACGGUGAUGAGUUGGAUGAGAUCUAUCAUGUAAUCGAGUUAGUUUUGAUGGGGAUUGAUCCCUAGUAUCCACUAUGUUCUGAGAUUGAUGUUGCAACUACUUUGCCAUGCUUAAUGCUUGUCACUAGGGCCCGAGUGCCAUGAUUUCAGAUCUGAACCUAUUAUGUUGUCGCCAAUAUAUGUGUGUUUUAGAUCCUAUCUUGCAAGUUGUAGUCACCUACUAUGUGUUAUGACCCGGCAACCCCGGAGUGACAAUAGCCGGAACCACUCCCGGAGAUGACCAUAGUAUGAGGAGUUCAUGUAUUCACCACGUGUUAACGCAUUGGUCCGGUUCUUUAUUAAAAGGAGAACCUUAAUAUCCCAUAGUUUCCAUUAGGACCCCGCUGCCACGGGAGGGAUGGACAAUAGAUGUCAUGCAAGUUCUUUUCCCUAAGCACGUAUGACUACAUACGGAAUACAUGCCUACAUUAGAUUGAUGAACGGGAGCUAGUUACUUAUCUCUCUAUGUUAUAGCUGUUACAUGAUGAAUCACAUCCGGCAUACCCAUCCAUCACCGAUCCAAUGCCUACGAGUCUUUUACUACUGGUCCUUGCUAUGUUACUUUGCCGCUACUGCUGUCACUAUUGCUGCUGUUACUCUGUCGCUACUGUUGUUACUUUGCUGCUACUGGUUACUGUUGCUACUGUUGCUAUCAUAACACCUUGCUACUGAUACUUUGCUGCAGACACUAAAUCUUUCAGGUGUGGUUGAAUUGACAACUCAACUGCUAAUACUUGAGAAUAUUCUUUCGCUUCCCCUUGAGUCGAAUCAAUAAAUUUGGGUUGAAUACUCUACCCUCGAAAACUAUUGCGAUCCCCUAUACUUGUGGGUUAUCAAGACUAUUUUCUGGCGCCGUUGUCGGGGAGGCAUCAAGUCAGGAAUAGUUGCCCGUCAACAGGAAUUUUCUGGCGCCGUUGCCGGGGAGGCAUCAAGUCAGGAAUAGUUGUCCGUCAAUAGGAAUUUUCUGGCGCCGUUGUCGGGGAGGCACAUCUAUAUUCUCUGGGUCACUUGGGAUUUAUGUCUGCUGGUCACUAUGAGGAAUCUGAUUGAUCCAAGAACUAAAGUCUUGCCCUCAACUAUGAGGACAGGUAAGGAACUGCCAUCGAGCUCCGCACUUGAUUCACCUUCAGUUAUGAGUAAGUUUGCAACACAACCUCGUGCUAGAAAUCUUGAUAUGUCGCCUGUGCCUGAUGAUGCUAUGCUUGAUACUGCUUUGCCUGAUAAUGCUAUGCUUGAUACUGCUUUGCCACUAGGUGCAUUCCUUGAUGCGCAAAUUGCUAGAGUUGCUGCUAGAUGUGAUCAUACUUCUGAAACUGCUGAUACUAUUGAAGUAGAACCUGCUAUUUUGCCUGCUAGAACUAGCUCUCCUAGAAAUGAAUUGCCUGAUAUGCCUGAGCGUUAUGUUAUGGAGGGAGAUAUAGCUGAGGACUUUCUUGCUUGUAAGGAUAGCUAUCAUGUUGAGAAAUUACUGCUCAAGUGGAAAAAAAAUCUCUCAACGCUAGGAUGAAAUAUGACCCGAAGUUUGCUACUUCGCCUAUCUUUGUCACCGAUAAGGAUUAUGAAUUCUAUGUCGACCCUGAGUUAAUCACUCUGGUCGAAUCUGAUCCUUUUCACGAUUAUGAGUCUUAAACGGUCGUAGCACAUCUGACCAAACUGCACGAUAUAGCCACCCUAUUCACUAGUGAGGAAAAUAUCCGCCACUACUAUAUCCUCAAGCUGUUUCCUUUCUCGCUAAAGGAUGAUGCUAAGACUUGGUUCACUUCUCUUACUCCUUGUUGUGUGCGUAGGCCCCAAGAUAUGGUCUACUACUUCUCUGAAAAAUAUUUUCAUGCCCAUAAGAAGCAAGCUGCCUUGCAGGAAAUAUACAACUUUGCUCAAACUGAAGAAGAGAGUCUCCCACAAGCUUGGGGGAGGCUCGUCCAGCUACUAAAUGCUUUUCCUGAUCACCCUCUUGAGAAGAAUGAAAUACUUGAUAUCUUCUAUAAUGGACUUACCGAUGCUUCUAGAGACCACCUAGAUAGUUGUGCCAGUUGUGUUUUUAGGGAAUGAACUGUAGAACAAGCUGAGAUCCUAUUGAAUAACAUCCUGUGCAAUGAGAAUGCCUGGACUAUUCCCGAACCACCUCCUAAGCCAACUCCGAAGAAAAGAUGUAUUCUAUUCCUCAGUCCUGAAGAUAUGCAAGAAGCUAAGAAAUCUAUGCGAGAGAAAGGCAUUAAAUCUGAAGAUGUCAAAAAUCUACCACCUAUCGAAGAGAUCUAUGGUCUCGAUAACCCGAUACAGGUAGUAGAAGUAAAUUCUUUGCGUAGGUUUGAUGAGAGUGAUAUUCCUUUUGAUAAACCUGCUAGCCUAUGCCUGGAUGAAUUUGAUAACUUUGUUGCCAAACAACAGAGUUUCAAUGAUUAUAUUAGCAGACAAUUGGAACAGAAUGCUUGUAUGCUUAGUCAUUUAAGUGCUUGUGUGGACAGAAAUGUCAAUGAUCUUAAGCUCCUGAGUAAACAUGCCUCUAUGGUUACUACUCAGGUAGAACAAGUACUUAAAUCACAGAUAGACUUGCUCAACGAGUUGAAUGACAAUUCCGUUAGAGUCGUUACUAGAGGCAGUAGAAUGACCCAGUAACCUCUGUAUCCUAAGGGUCAUCCGAAGAGAAUUGAACAAGAUUCUCAAGGAGUUAGCACUGAUGCACCUAGUCAUCCUAGAAAGAAGAAGCAAGAUGAUAGGGAUGUGCACGCUAGCAACCCUGUUGCUGCUACACCUGAGAGUCCAAACGAUGCCUCUGUCUCUGAUGUUGAAACACAAUCUGGCGAUGAACAUGAGCCUAAUGAUAAUAUCAAUAGUGAUGGUCAUGUUGAUGCUCAACCUAGCAAUGAUAAGGAUGUGGAGAUUGAACCUGUUGAUCUUGAUAACCCACAGCCUAAGGCUAAGAGAUAUGAUAAGAAUGACUUCACUGGUAGGAAGCAUGGUAAAGAAAGGGAACCAUGGGUUCAGAAACCCAUGCCAUUUCCUCCCAAACCAUCCAAGAAAAAGGAUGAUGAGGAUUUUAAGCGAUUCGUUGAAAUGAUCAUACCUGUCUUUCUGCAAAUGUGUUUGACAGAUAUGCUCAAAAUGUCUCCGUAUGCUAAGUACAUGAAAGAUAUUGUGACCAAUAAUAGGAGGAUACCUGAGGUUGAGAUUUCCACCAUGCUUGCUAAUUAUACCUUCAAGGGUGGAACUCCUAAGAAACUAGGUGAUCCCGGUGUGCCCACUAUACCUUGCUCCAUUAAAGGUAACUACGUGAGAACUGCUUUAUGCGACCUUGAAGCCAGCGUUAGUGUUAUGCCUCUCUCUCUUUACCGUAGACUUGAACUGGAUAAGUUGACACCCACUGAAAUCUCUCUGCAAAUGGUCGACAAAUCAACUGCUUUCCCUAUCGACAUUUGCGAGGAUGUGCCUGUUGUGGUUACGAACGUCAAUAUCUUAAUAGACUUUGUUAUUCUGGAUAAUCCCGAGGAUGAUGCCAUGGCGGUCAUCCUCGGAAGACCCUUUUUAAACACUGCAGGGGCUGUUAAAUAUUGCAACAAAGGCAAUGUCACUUUCCAUGUCAACGGUAAUGAGCAUACGGUGCACUUUUUGAAGAAACAAUAUCAAGUACAUUGCAUCAAUGCUAUCGAAAAAACUUCAUCGAUUCUUAUUGGGAGCUUUGAAUGCCCUAUUCCUCGUGUCAAGAUGAAGUAUCAUUUGCUUGUUCGGGAAAUACAUAUCCCCAUUGAGGUGACCUAGUGACUAUUCGGAAAUUCUCCGUUCUCUUUUGCAAUUCAAAUUUUUGUUGUCAAAGAGGCUUGAUAAAGCUCACUGACGGAUUUCUUUCGAUGAUCAUGAGAUGGAUGAAUCGAGGAGUCACAAACCUCUGUGCCAAGCUUUCACCUUCGGUUGCUUAGAAGAAAAAUGAUAGGUUUAGUUUAGUUUUCCCUGUUUUCUGUUUUAGCGUCCGGUAGAAAAGUACUCCGAAAAUAGAAGUUCUCCGAACGUCCUGAAAAUCAAGUAUGAUUUUUUCUGGAUUUUUUGAAAAAUUCUGAGACAAAGAGCUUGUCUAGGGGUUGCACCAGUGGGCUACAAGCCCUUGGGGCGCGGGCACCCCCCUGGCCGCACAACCCAGGCUUGUGGGGCCCACAGGCACCCCCUCCACUCAUUCUUGCUCUCAUCUGGUUCUCCUACCUCGAAAAAAAAUCGUUUCGCAGCUCAAACCCGUGUUCUUGCUCCUCUUGCUAGGAUUUUCGAUCUCUUUGCGCAAAUCACCAUUCUCCGAACUUUUUGGGGAAAUUACUCCUUGGUAAGUGACUCCUGCAUUGGUCCAACUAGUUUUUGCUCUAGUGCCUUAUACUCCGCGUAUGUUUGCUGCCAUGGUGACCAUGUUCUUGAGCUUUGCAUGCUGAUUUUAGCUGGUCCCAAGUAGUUUUGAUGUGUAAUAUGGCCUCUAGGCACUUGUGGGAGUAGUUGCUACGAGUUUACAUGAGCCUUGUUCACUUUUCCUUAGAAUCACUAAAAAUUUCAGCAAUUUUCAGAGAUAGAAAAGGGAAAAAAUGAGGAGGUUCUUAAGAGGCUCUUCAAGCCGUGACCCCAAGGAUGAUGGAAGUGAGAAGAAGCCCAAGUAUCUGGUCCCUCGAGUCGCACAAGUUUGAGCUUGUGAGUGGCCAAGCGACGUGUUCUUACGCGCCGCUGGAAUUUAUGAGGACUUUUAUCACUUGGUGGAGAACGCAGGCCUUACAGCUUUCAUCGAUACAAUUGUUGUAGGAGAGGAGAGAGGAGUGUCUUGCGCUAGAGCUGCUAGCAUUCAUUUUCCCGUGCUUCGGUACUUCUCACUUUUUGUGGGAAAGUGUUUGAUUGGCCGUGGGAAAGAUGGGUCACUUAGUUCCCCAGAUCUUGCGGUCUUGCGUGAAGCCCUUUAUAAUGAUAAAACUUAUAGCUUGGGCACUAUAGUAGCUCAACGGUUGAAUACGAACCAUUCUAAGGGCAUUGUCUAUGGAGGUAUCUAUGCUACUCGUCUUGCUAGACACUUUGAGAUACCUAUUAGACUGGAGGAGGAAGAAGAGAUUCUUCUUCCCGAGAGAUAUCUAGAUUAUGAUAGCAUGGUUCGCCAUGACUUUCUUGAUAGAGAUAUAAAUAGAAGGAUGAUUUAUAACCUGGUAUUUAGUCAGGGUACUCGUGAGACUAUUACUUUGCCUGCUCCUUCUUUGUUCAAUCUUCAUGCAGGCACGUACAUUAUUAUGCCCUCGGACAUCUACAUGCUUACUUAGCCACUGGAGGAGGGCAUUGAUAAGACGAUUGAUUAAGCAAAAGGACUAGCACUCUCAUAUGAAUAUGAGAUCACUACUUAGAAAAGAUCUGAAAUCACCACUUGACAUCGAAGCAACUUGAAUUACCAUAUUCCAACAAAACAAAGGGUGAGGCUUGCAAAUUAGCCACAACAAACUCAUGAGAAAGAUUUCCGUUCGAUAUUUUCGUGGACAGGAUCGCACGGGCCCGAUCCUUACAGUAGCCAUCAAGUGCAAGGCAGUGCACCCGACAUACGAAGCGUCCCCGAGUCGUAGAAAGCUACAAGGACUCUUUAAGACACAACGUGAACCGCUGUAAGUCGACCGUCAACAAACGAAUCCACUAGAUGUCGAACGCCAACCUAACAUCAUGCAUUUGUUGGAAGAUUGUCCUAUAAGCAACUACUUGAAUUCCCAGCUAAGAAUUCCUGCAAUUUCUGGUCAUGCAAUCUGGUACACGGAUACAAGGAGUAAUAAUCACACAACUCCUAUACUAACCCGUCACUUGUAUCACAUCCUUCAACACAUAACAAGAAUCUUGGACCUUCAUCUACAAUAGACCUCGUGAUCACAACGAUACAAAGUAUGGCAGUACUCCAGAACAAUCUGCACCAGUACUGGGGACAUUGGGGUUAUCUCGCCACUACUAGUAUUGAAGCAAUUACGAACAUCCUUUGUCCUGAGAUACUAAGAAAUUUGAAUGAUAACGAUGUGCUCGAGAAUCCCCUGGAGCUCAACUCCCCGGAAGAAAUCAAGUCAGACAAGAGGCACCAAGACAGAACUUCGUCACAUCGACAUCAUAUAGGUUCCAAAAAUAUCCACGUGAUCCUAAAAAAAUUGAGUGAGAAGAGGAGUAGAAUAAAUUAUUACGUCAAGAUUCCUCACCAGAGCAUAGAAGAGGAGAAAAAAGAAUCCUACUCUCUGAUAUAUAACUAAGACUCAAAUAGUUUUUCACUAGACUCGACUCGGCCAAGUUCGAUCAAUCAAGGGGGCUCCUAGGCCGGUACUGCUCUGAUACCAACUUGUCAUGCCCAAGAUGCGACCCUAUCCUUAAUUUGGCACGAGGGCCUCGUCAGGGAUAGAAGCGCAUCUCGUCGUUUUGCAAGAAUGGAUAUUGUUACAAGUAUAUGUACUGAAAAGAAGAGAUAUAUAGAAUUGGCUUACACUCGCCACAAGCUACAUCAGAGUCACAUCAGUACAAUACAUAAUCAUCAUGAAUAAGAGCAGGGUCCGACUACGGACGAAAACAAACGAGAAAAGAAGAACGGCGUCCAUCCUUGCUAUCCCAGGCUGCAGGCCUGGAACCCAUCCUAGAUCGAUGAUGAAGAAGAAGAAGAAGAAGCAACUCCAAAUGAACAAUCAACGCGCUCAUGUCAAAUAACCUUUACAUGUACCUGCAACUAGUGUUGUAGUAAUCUGUGAGCCAUGGGGAACUCAGCAGUCUCAUUUCCAAAGGUAUCAAGACUAGCAAAGCUUAGUGGGUGAGGUAAGGUUAACCGGUGAGGCUGCAGCAGGCGGUUAAGCAUUAUACGGUGGCUAACUUACGAGUACAAGAAAUAAGAGGGGGAAGAACUACGCAUAACGGACGUAACUACUAAUGAGCAAAUGAAUGAUCCUGAACACCUACCUAUGUCAGGCAAAACCCCACCGUGUCCUUGAUCGGAGAAGGAACUCACGAAAGAGACAGUCACGGUUACGCACACAGUUGGCAUAUUUUAAUUAAGUUAACUUAAAGUUAUCUAGAACCAGUGUUAAACAAAGUUUCCACGUUGCCACAUAACCGCGGACAUGGCUUUCCGAAAAUAUUUAACCCUGCAGGGGUGCUCCAACUAGUCCAUCAGAAAUUACCACAAGCCGCAUAGAAAUCCUCGAUCACGACACUCGCAAUCUCAUCGGACUCCUUAGUGGAAAACCUCAACUCUGAGAUUACCCAAAGCAUCACCGGAAUCCCGAUGCACAAGAUAUUUCGUCAAAGAUAAAACUAAUCCAGCAAGACCGCCCGACGUGUCGACGAUCGCGAUAGGAGCCGCGUAUCUCGUUCUCAAGACACGACGGAUGGGUCACACUAGGAGAAACCAAACCUCGGGUUGCCCCGCGGUGGCCCCGUAGUCUGCCAGUUUGGACCAACACUCAUGAGGAGCACUGGCCCGGGGGUUGAUUAAAUUAUCCUCGGGGUCCGGAAAGUCCGUAUGCAAUCUAAUUAGGCGUUUAGGAAAAUGUAGUACCAAAGUUGGGCCUUGCCAGACCAGUCUUAAUCUAAAACGAAUUAUCAAGUGGGUCCCCAUAACAACCCCGGUCGUGUUAGGAGCGCUCAAAUAUGGAACAUAACACCGGCAACCGAAACUAAGGGGGCAAAGGUGGAACAAAACACCAGGCUAGAAAGGCCGAGCCUUCCACCUUUUACCAAGUAUAUAGGUUCAUUAAAUUAAAUAACAUUUAAUAGGGUGAUAUAACAAGGAACCCAUGUUAUCACAUGGAAGCGACUGCACUUGCAACUAGCAACGCUAACACAGGGUUAAGCAAGCGGUAACAUAGCCAAUCAGUGGUUGGCUAGGUUGAACAGGUUGAAGGUUUUCAAGGCAUUAUUGAGAGGCCGAUAUUUAACAUGUGGUAGGCAACGAGACAUAAUCGAUAGAAGCGAUAAAACUAGCAUCACAAUGAUAGUAAUGGUAUCUAGGGAAAUGGUCAUCUUGCCUGAGAUCCCGGGUGGAAGAAGAAUGACUCCGUGAAGCAGACGAACCGAUGUAGUCGAAAGAGUCCUCACUUUCCGACACG